UACAGAGGGUGCAAGCGUUGUUCGGAAUUAUUGGGCGUAAAGGGCGCGUAGGCGGUGAGAUGCGUCCGUUGUGAAAUCGCCCGGCUCAACUGGGCGGGGUCAGCGGAUACGGUCUCACUUGAGCAAGCUAGGGGGCAAUGGAAUUCCCGGUGUAGUGGUGGAAUGCGUAGAUAUUGGGAGGAACACCAGUGGCGAAGGCGGCUCACUGGACCGGUUCCGACGCUGAAGCGCGAAAGCGUGGGGAGCAAACGGG
This 253-nucleotide ribosomal RNA is filed under the name uncultured prokaryote. Its description in RNAcentral is "partial 16S ribosomal RNA". It matches the Rfam family "Bacterial small subunit ribosomal RNA", at positions 524 to 776 of the family's 1533-position model. The record is from RNAcentral.